Molecule: long non-coding RNA, 3789 nt
Filed under: Homo sapiens (human)
Lineage: Eukaryota; Metazoa; Chordata; Mammalia; Primates; Hominidae
Description: non-protein coding LINC00865:9
Source: RNAcentral
AGUCGCUGCUGUGAACUCGCUGGAGCCCAGACUCACGCAACUAAGGGGCAGCAGUGGGAAGAGAAACGGAGGGGUGGUGGGGGAGCUGGCGCUCUGAACGCCUGUUCCUUCUGUUCAGACUAGUCUUUGUUUAUUUUGCAGCGCAGGAAGGCGGAAGGGAAGGCGGAGACCGGCAAGAGAGGGGAGAAGGCCCGGGGAAGACGCUCGGGACCAAGAUGCGGGGCCCGGGUGCGAGCAGCUGAACCUCUCGGCCCCCAGGCGUGGUGACCUGGGUGGCGACGCUCGUGGAGGCCGAGGAGCUUCUGGACCGGCGCUUCGGGGGACCAAGUGGAGAGGCUGCUGGAGUUGUCGCCUGAGUCCUCCCUUAGUUCUUCGCGCCGGCCUCGCCCACGGCUCCGGGUCCCAGCCGCCACUGCAGUCUCCGCAGCACCGAGCGGGGCUCCACCGACUCGCGACCUCCAGCCUCCGCCUCAAGGGCAGGGAGCGCGGCUGGGUCUCUGGAAAGCCAUUUUUAAAUCACUGCCUCUGCUGCCCCCAUGUGAGGUCGGAGUGUCCUCCCCCGUCUUUGCUUUCAGGUUCUUUCAGGUUCCUUUGGGCAAACCCGCAGCUAAGAGUCCAGCUUGUGAACUUGAACCUGAACUUGCUGAAGAAGCUCCCGGCGGCCCCCUGCUGUCUGCGGCCUUUGUUUGAGGGAGAGGCUGGGGUCACCCGGUUGGGCCGCAUUUCCGGGGCCGUCACCUGUCGGGCUGCCAGGCCGCGCGUACCUUGUCCCAUCGGGGGCUCUGCUCUGCCCCCUGCGCUGAUGACGCGGGUGGAAGGGAGGUAUCAGGGGCACUCUGGGGAGCUGUACCUGGCGGGCACCCCCCAGCUGCUCUCCGUGGGGUACGACACCGAGACCUGGUUGGGCUGCAAGGAGACCGACUGGGAUUCCCGGGCUGGUGGCCGGGGAGACGAAGGCGGGGGGUGAGAGGCAGGAACCCAGGAGGCCCCAGGCCCAGCGCUGUGGGGCUGCUGUUGUCGUUCUGCGUGGAGGUCUGGCCAAACUGGCUUUUGCCCCGAGUGAGGAAUUCCUGCUCUUUUUUGGUUUUGGUAAGAGGUCGCUAUUCACAGAGGGGGCGGGGUUCGUCCCCUCCAGGCGAGUACGGGGCUGGCGGGCGCAGUGCUGCCUUUCUGCUCUGUCUCUUGAUCCCGCUUAGGAUCUUUGUGGCUCCUCUGAGUCUUCUUAGAGAGGCCGUGAAAGAUGGGAAAGGCAGGUUGCUGAAACGCUGCUGCUCGGGGCUGGCAGAGACCCUGGUAUAGGGAAGGCGCACCACUGUGGGUCAGAUCAGCUGACAGUGGGGGUUUUAGGUGAUGGGGUAACCUUACAGUUCGGAUCUCUUAGAACCCAGAAGCAGGUAGGCGAUCGCUGCUUCAUCACACUUCACAGGGAGUCCUGGAUCUUUCCUGUCCGUAACCCAUGGACGCCAUGAUUCAGUAUGGCGGAGGUCCGGGGCUUAAGUUCCUGUUCAUGCUUCCUAAUCAUUCAUGGAUCCAUCACAAUGUGCUCUGAAGGGCCUCUCUUGCUGGGAUUGAGAAGGAUACAUUUUUUGAGCAGGUUUUUAUACUCAAUGGACAUGUAGAAGGGAAUAUAUUCUACUCAGUUCCCCUCCUGCAGCUCCUUGAAAUUCUGUCCAUCAAAAGCAGGGAUCUGCUGACCAGAGGUGACUGCCACAGAAGGUAUCCAGUUUGUAAAAGCUGAAUUUGUUGCUGAAGCCAGAAUUUGCAAUCUUGAUGUUUGUGUUAACAUCCAAGAGCGUGUUUUCUGCCUUUAAAUCUCUGUGGACAAUACGUUUCUGGUGACAGCUUGCACAGCAGACACUUUUGGUAGAAUUUGCUUCAGUCCUUUUUUUUUCUUUCCUGCUGCCAUGAGCAGGUAUUCACAAACUUCUCCUCCUGGCUAGUGUGCUUCAUGACAAAGCAAAGAGAUUCCUCAAUAUCGAUCACAGCAAAUGUUUCACUAUGUUGGGGUGAUCCGAGCCUUCAUGGUUCCUACUUUGUGGAUGGUGUCUGGAGGAGAUCUGCUGAGUCUCAUCAAUGAACUUCACAGCUGCUGCUUUCCCAGUUAAGAGGUCCCAGGCCAACCUUACCUUAGCCAGGUUGCCCUUGACGAUGGUCUCAAGGAUCCUAGCUGCCAGUAAGGGUCCCUUCUCAGCAGAGAUGGCUGAGAGGCCCUGUGGCAUGUGAGACUUACUGCUGGGCUUGGAGUCAAGGUGUCCCAGGUCAGCUUAAUUUCGGGAAAAACUGGUAAGACGCUUGGUUCAAAUCACUUGAAAAGAAAAUCACUUGCAUAGUUCACCUGAAGAAUGGAUCUCUAUAAUGGAAUUAAAGCACAAUGCUGGACAAAAAGUAAGAAAAAGCAACAAACUGAAAGGAAAAAUUGAGUAAAAAGAAUAAAGAACUAGAACUGGCAACCUCAGCCAAGCCAGGGAAUUACAUACAUCUUGGAAUUCCAAAGCAAUGCUUCCUUAUGAGGGCAUAGGAAGAAAUAAAUCUAAUAACAAGGCUGGGAUUAAUUCACGUGGUUUUCUCACAUUUUGGUCUCAAGAACUUUUUACUCUAAAACUAAUUAUUGAGGACCCCAAAGAGCUUUUUAUGUGGGUUAUAGUUAUCAGUAUUUACUUUAUUGGAAAUUAAAACCUGUAGGAUGUUUCAGUGGUCUUUUCUAGUUUGAAGGGUUUAAUAAUUUUUGGCUUUUAAAGAGCCCAUAAUCAAUUAAAAUAUUUUAUUUUCCUUUAAAUUGUAAAUGAUUGGUGUCAUAAUGAUGCUACAACUUAACUGGCAUUACAAUACUAUACAAAUACGUUCUAUUGUAUAAGUCACAAUAAGGUACAUUAUUAACUCUAUAACAUUUAGGGGAAGAUAGCUGUUAUCAUAUUAUUUAAAGUUUUGCCUAGUUUCUUUGUAGUAGACUUAUCUUUUCCAGGAGCCAGAGAACCCGCUAUAUCAGUUUCAGUAUCUUUAAAUGUAGAGAUUGCAGCUGUGUGUUGAGAAAGCACGUUUCACUUAGCAUGGGAUGGGGACUUCGAGGUACUGGAUAUGUCACUGGCACCUCAGGGGAGGAAACCAAGAUGCCCCUAUAUGAUUUUAAACAUGGUUUAUUAAAGCGUGAUACAGAAAAGUGCACAAAUUGUCCACCUACAGCUUGGUGACUGUUCACAAAUUGAACUCAUCUAACUAGCCUCCAGAAUAAGAAACAGGCCUUUACACACCCCCACCAGCCUCCCAAUCCCCUUUUCAGUCACCUUCUCUGCAGUGAUAACCACUAUUCUAUAUUCUGACAGCAUAGUUUCACUUGUUUUUUAACUUCACAUAAAUGGGAUCAGACAGUAUUGAAUCCUUUGUGUCUGCUUCCUUCACUCAAUAUUUUCCUGAGAUUUUUCUAUAUUGUUUAUUCUAAAUGCCCAUUGUACGACUGUAACACAAUUUGUUUAUCCAUUUUACUGUUCUUGGGCAUUUGGGUAGUUCUCACUGUGGAUGCUAAGAAGAGUGUUGCUAUAAACAUUCAGGUCUUUUGGUAAGCAUAUACCUGGCUUUCUGUUGGCUAUUUAUACCUAGAAAUAGAGUUGCUGGCUUAUAAGGUAUGCAUAUUUUUAGUUUUAGUAGACAUUGCAGUUUGUACCAAUUCACCCACCCACCAAUGUGAAUAUCUAAUAUUGCCUGCCUGUCUGUACGUGUGUACUGGUAUAGCAUUGUGGUUUUAAUUUGCAUUUUCCAGUGCCUAAUGAAAUAAAGCACCUUUUAAUAUGCUUA